Long non-coding RNA from Drosophila erecta, 760 nucleotides. RefSeq lists it as uncharacterized. The record is from RefSeq and is a predicted model, not a curated record. Lineage: Eukaryota; Metazoa; Arthropoda; Insecta; Diptera; Drosophilidae. The transcript is spliced from 2 exons.
UUCAUUUGCCUUCGACAUGGGCAACAAACCGGUCGUAUUUCUGGAAUAAGUUACAAAAAAAAUUCAAAAUUUUUCACGUGAAAAAAGUACAGUGCUGACAAAAUGUCGGCACUGGGCUUGAUUCCUCACCCAAAUCCGAGGAAUCAAAGCCAGAAGACGAUGUUGAAGGCGCGGUUGUCGAUUCGCCUGAUGGACCAAGAUACACUAGAACUACAGUCACCACAAUGGGCUUAAGCCUUAUUACAUGUACAGUGCUGACAAAAUGUCUGCACGGGCUUGAUUCCUCGCCCAAAAUCCGAGGAAUCGAAGCCAGAAGACGAUGUUAAAGGCGGGGUUGUCGAUUCGCCUGAUGGACGGAUAUAUCAACACUAACGAACACGAAUGCCCUCUCUAUGGCUCUACGAGGCAUCCAUCCAGCUGCUGAUGAACCACAUAUCACUGCUACUGUCCAACACGUUGCUGAUAUGCUGCAAACUGCGUACGUAAUCGGCUGCCAAUCGGAUCUUUCAACAGCGUUUAAUACCUCACACGUUGCACGUUACACGGUACGACGUUUAAAUGCGGUUUACAAUUAGUCUUGCCAAUUCACACAUUUACUUAUUUGUUUUAUCGUAAACCAUUUAAAUAGAAUAAUGCAGAAAUUACUACUGACAACACUGAAGCUAACACUCAAAUGAUGCAGAAUUUGAAAUUGAAUUGAUUACACUGUUCCAUGUGUACACAAAUAAAAUAUUGUAUGCGAAAUCCCAAAGAACGAAAA